ACAGAGUGAGGGCGAAAGAGAUGGCGAAUGGUGGGGGGGGAGAGAGAUAGGGUGGCUGCUCAUUUCAUACGAAGGCUGCCAUAAAGAAGAAACGAACGGUAAAACACGUUAAAAGUCCCGGCCAUUAUUUAAUGUUGAUUAUCAAUUUGCUCCGGCAUUUUUAAUACACACACACACACGCACACACUCAACUGUUGUCUGUCUAUCUUCCACACACGCACACUCGCACACACACACAGUGAUAAAUAUAUACUGGGAAACCAAUAAAGCGCUCGAAGCUGAGUUCAUAGCUCGCCUGUUGUGCCGUUCCGUUCCCUUCCGAGGAUGGAGAGACUAGCUGAUUUAUAGACAUAUGCCUCAAAGCGCCGACCUGACCUGACCUGACCCGACCCAACUCGACGCAGCUCGGCGCAACGCGACGCGACCCAACUGGACCUACACCUGCAGCUGGCGCUGUGGACUGGACCCGAAUCUGGGACCCGGCAGCUGAAACUUUUGCCCCAACAUAUGCCUCUCGCCAGGCGUUGUUUAAUAAGUUUCAGCUAAGUGGACAGCGGACCGAUGGUGGGCGGGGAUAUGGAUAUGGGAACAAACUACUCGUAAAGCCAAGCGAUUCGCGCUUGCCUUUUGCUCCGUUUGAGAUUUAUUGACAUAUAAAUUUAAUACCUACUACCCAAGCACCCGACUGCCGAAAGUCCAGGCAUUGAGCGCCGGAUGAGCAAAGUUUAGGAGCAGUUGAUUGAAUGCGCUUUACUGCUUGGAUUUCCGUUAGUAAAUUGAAAAAAAAAA
Drosophila arizonae is the source of this 789-nucleotide long non-coding RNA. Lineage: Eukaryota; Metazoa; Arthropoda; Insecta; Diptera; Drosophilidae. The record is from RefSeq and is a predicted model, not a curated record.